This 324-nucleotide ribosomal RNA is filed under the name uncultured eukaryote. RNAcentral's name for it is "partial 18S ribosomal RNA". It matches the Rfam family "Eukaryotic small subunit ribosomal RNA", at positions 1470 to 1796 of the family's 1831-position model. The record is from RNAcentral.
CCCUUAGAUGUUCUGGGCCGCACGCGCGCUACACUGAUGCAUUCAACGAGUUUCUUCCUGGUCCGAGAGGAAUGGGUAACCUUUUGAAAGUGCAUCGUGAUAGGGAUAGACUAUUGCAAUUAUUGGUCUUCAACGAGGAAUUCCUAGUAGACGUGGUUCAUCAGACUGCAUCGAUUACGUCCCUGCCCUUUGUACACACCGCCCGUCGCUCCUACCGAUUGAAUGCUCAGGUGAGCCAUUCGGACUUUCAUCAUGCUGGUUUCCAGUUUUGAUGAAGGAAAGUCUUGCGAACCUUAUCAUUUAGAGGAAGGAGAAGUCGUAACA